CAGCCGCCGCGGUAAUACGUAGGUGGCAAGCGUCGUCCGGAAUUAUUGGGCGUAAAGCGCGCGCAGGUGGUUUAAUAAGUCUGAUGUGAAAGCCCACGGCUCAACCGUGGAGGGUCAUUGGAAACUGUUAAACUUGAGUGCAGGAGAGAAAAGUGGAAUUCCUAGUGUAGCGGUGAAAUGCGUAGAGAUUAGGAGGAACACCAGUGGCGAAGGCGGCUUUUUGGCCUGUAACUGACACUGAGGCGCGAAAGCGUGGGGAGCAAACAGGAUUAGAUACCCCUGUAGCCCUGUCUCUUAUACA
This 301-nucleotide ribosomal RNA is filed under the name uncultured bacterium. Its description in RNAcentral is "partial 16S ribosomal RNA". It matches the Rfam family "Bacterial small subunit ribosomal RNA", at positions 509 to 809 of the family's 1533-position model. The record is from RNAcentral.